This 1513-nucleotide ribosomal RNA is filed under the name metagenome. RNAcentral describes it as "bacterial LSU rRNA". It matches the Rfam family "Bacterial large subunit ribosomal RNA", at positions 1379 to 2925 of the family's 2925-position model. The record is from RNAcentral.
CUUGGGCCUAAGGCGAGGCAGAAAUGCGUAGUCGAUGGACAGCAGGUUGAGAUUCCUGCACCCGUAAUGAACAGAACUGUAGUGACACGGAAGGUAAGACAGAGCCGGGAAUGAGAAAACCGGUGCAAGCACAAUAGAUGUGUGGGAGGAAAAUCCCCCGCAUAAGUCAAAGGUGUGAUGCGGACCGAAAAAGAGUAGGGAAGCUGUUAAGCAAGCCGUCAAGAAAAGCUGCUAUUGUUUCAUUAUGGCCCGUACCGUAAACCGACACAGGUGGAUGGGGAGAGAAUCCUAAGGCCGGCAGAAGAAGUAUUGUUAAGGAACUCGGCAAAAUGACCCCGUAACUUCGGGAGAAGGGGUGCCUGCGAGAGCAGGCCGCAGAGAAGAGGCCCAAGCAACUGUUUAGCAAAAACACAGGUCUAUGCAAAACCGAAAGGUGAGGUAUAUGGGCUGACGCCUGCCCGGUGCUGGAAGGUUAAGGGGAGUGGUCAGGAAACGAAGCCACGAACUUAAGCCCCAGUAAACGGCGGCCGUAACAAUAACGGUCCUAAGGUAGCGAAAUUCCUUGUCGGGUAAGUUCCGACCCGCACGGAAGGCGUAAUGAUUUGGGCGCUGUCUCGACAAUACAUCCGGUGAAAUUGAAGUGCCAGUGAAGAUGCUGGCUACCUGCGCCAGGACGGAAAGACCCCAUGGAGCUUUACUCCAGCUUGAUACUGGGACCCGGUAUUGCAUGUACAGGAUAGGUGGGAGGCUAGGAAAUGUGGACGCCAGUCUGCAUGGAGCCGCUGUUGGGAUACCACCCUUGUGGUGCUGGGUUUCUAACCAGAGGCCGUGAACCGGUCUGGGGACAAUGUCAGGUGGGGAGUUUGACUGGGGCGGUCGCCUCCGAAAGGGGUAUCGGAGGCGCCCAAAGGUUCCCUCAGAAUGGUUGGAAACCAUUCGAAGAGUGCAAAGGCAGAAGGGAGCUUGACUGCGACACCGACGGGUGGAGCAGGUACGAAAGUAGGGCUUAGUGAUCCGGUGGAAUUUAAGUGGGAAUGCCAUCGCUCAACGGAUAAAAGCUACCCUGGGAUAACAGGCUGAUCACUCCCAAGAGUUCACAUCGACGGAGUGGUUUGGCACCUCGAUGUCGGCUCAUCGCAUCCUGGGGCUGAAGUCGGUCCCAAGGGUUGGGCUGUUCGCCCAUUAAAGCGGUACGCGAGCUGGGUUCAGAACGUCGUGAGACAGUUCGGUCCCUAUCCGGCGUGGGCGUAGGAUAUCUGAGAGGAGCUGUCCUUAGUACGAGAGGACCGGGAUGGACUGACCUCUGGUGUACCGGUUGGCGAUCAACGCCACGGCCGGGUAGCCAUGUCGGGACGGGAUAAACGCUGAAGGCAUCUAAGCGUGAAGCCCCCCUCAAGAUGAGAUAUCCCAUCGUAAGAGUAAGACCCCUUGAAGACGACGAGGUUGAUAGGGCAGGGGUGGAAGUGCUGUAAGGCAUGGAGCUGACUGCUACUAAUCGGUCGAGGGCUUGAUC